GAUGAACGCUGGCGGCGUGCCUAAUACAUGCAAGUCGAGCGAACAGACGAGGAGCUUGCUCCUCUGACGUUAGCGGCGGACGGGUGAGUAACACGUGGAUAACCUACCUAUAAGACUGGGAUAACUUCGGGAAACCGGAGCUAAUACCGGAUAAUAUAUUGAACCGCAUGGUUCAAUAGUGAAAGACGGUUUUGCUGUCACUUAUAGAUGGAUCCGCGCCGCAUUAGCUAGUUGGUAAGGUAACGGCUUACCAAGGCGACGAUGCGUAGCCGACCUGAGAGGGUGAUCGGCCACACUGGAACUGAGACACGGUCCAGACUCCUACGGGAGGCAGCAGUAGGGAAUCUUCCGCAAUGGGCGAAAGCCUGACGGAGCAACACCGCGUGAGUGAUGAAGGUCUUCGGGUCGUAAAACUCUGUUAUUAGGGAAGAACAAAUGUGUAAGUAAAUAUGCACGUCUUGACGGUACCUAAUCAGAAAGCCACGGCUAACUACGUG
Molecule: ribosomal RNA, 497 nt
Filed under: uncultured bacterium
Lineage: Bacteria
Description: partial 16S ribosomal RNA
Rfam family: Bacterial small subunit ribosomal RNA
Source: RNAcentral